This 607-nucleotide ribosomal RNA is filed under the name uncultured bacterium. RNAcentral describes it as "bacterial SSU rRNA". It matches the Rfam family "Bacterial small subunit ribosomal RNA", at positions 62 to 692 of the family's 1533-position model. The record is from RNAcentral.
CCCUUCGGGGUGACGAGUUAUUGACUGAGUGGCGGACGGGUGAGUAACGCGUGGGUAACCUACCUUGUACAGGGGGACAACAGUUGGAAACGACUGCUAAUACCGCAUAAGCGCACAGCAUCGCAUGAUGCAGUGUGAAAAGUUUUUUCGGUACAAGAUGGACCCGCGUCUGAUUAGCUAGUUGGUGAGGUAACGGCCCACCAAGGCGACGAUCAGUAGCCGACCUGAGAGGGUGACCGGCCACAUUGGGACUGAGACACGGCCCAAACUCCUACGGGAGGCAGCAGUGGGGAAUAUUGCACAAUGGGCGCAAGCCUGAUGCAGCGACGCCGCGUGAGCGAAGAAGUAUUUCGGUAUGUAAAGCUCUAUCAGCAGGGAAGAUAAUGACGGUACCUGACUAAGAAGCACCGGCUAAAUACGUGCCAGCAGCCGCGGUAAUACGUAUGGUGCAAGCGUUAUCCGGAUUUACUGGGUGUAAAGGGAGCGUAGGCGGUUUUACAAGUCUGAUGUGAAAGCCCGGGGCUCAACUCCGGUAUUGCAUUGGAAACUGUAGAACUAGAGUGUCGGAGGGGUAAGUGGAAUUCCUAGUGUAGCGGUGAAAUGCGUA